CCUACAUUCAACUCUAACCCAAACGCUUAUCUUAAUAUUUUAGGAUUGGGUUUAGGGUUUGAUUUUAUGGUUGAUUAAAGGUUAAGGUUAGGGUUAGGUGUAGGGUUAGAUUUUAUGGUUGAUUAAGGUUUAAGGUUAGGGUUAGGUGUAGGGUUAGAUUUUAGGGUUGAUUAAGGGUUAAGGUUAGGGUUAGG
This is a long non-coding RNA of Astyanax mexicanus (Mexican tetra), 194 nucleotides long. RefSeq lists it as uncharacterized. The transcript has 3 exons. Lineage: Eukaryota; Metazoa; Chordata; Actinopteri; Characiformes; Acestrorhamphidae. The record is from RefSeq and is a predicted model, not a curated record.